AUUGAACGCUGGCGGCAUGCCUUACGCAUGCAAGUCGAACGGCAGCACGGGAGCAAUCCUGGUGGCGAGUGGCGAACGGGUGAGUAAAGCAUCGGAACGUGCCCAGUCGUGGGGGAUAGCGUAGCGAAAGUUACGCUAAUACCGCAUACGAUCUAUGGAUGAAAGCGGGGAAUCGCAAGACCUCGCGCGAUUGGAGCGGCCGAUAUCAGAUUAGGUAGUUGGUGGGGUAAAGGCUCACCAAGCCGACGAUCUGUAGCUGGUCUGAGAGGACGACCAGCCACACUGGGACUGAGACACGGCCCAGACUCCUACGGGAGGCAGCAGUGGGGAAUUUUGGACAAUGGGCGCAAGCCUAAUCCAGCCAUGCCGCGUGCAGGAUGAAGGCCUUCGGGUUGUAAACUGCUUUUGUACGGAACGAAAAGGUUUGACUUAAUACGUUGGACUCAUGACGGUACCGUAAGAAUAAGCACCGGCUAACUACGUGCCAGCAGCCGCCGUAA
RNAcentral lists this ribosomal RNA (500 nucleotides) under uncultured bacterium. RNAcentral describes it as "partial 16S ribosomal RNA". It matches the Rfam family "Bacterial small subunit ribosomal RNA", at positions 30 to 523 of the family's 1533-position model. The record is from RNAcentral.